RNAcentral lists this long non-coding RNA (772 nucleotides) under Zea mays. RNAcentral describes it as "long non-coding RNA (ZMAY_LNC002554)". The record is from RNAcentral. Lineage: Eukaryota; Viridiplantae; Streptophyta; Magnoliopsida; Poales; Poaceae.
ACCUCUCCGUCUUCUCGCUGUUGCCUGACUUCUGGGGCAUAGGGCAGCUCUUCCCGAUGAUGCCGGUGAGCCGCCUCAACGAGGAGCCGACUCUCAAGGGCACGCUGGUGGACAUCACCUGCGACAGUGACGGGAAGAUCGAGAACUUCAUCAGCCGCGAAAACACAUUGCCGCUGCACCUGUUCGAGCCGAGCCUCGGUGGCUACUACGUGGCCGUACUCGUCUCCGGGGCGUACCAGGAGGCCAUUGCUGGCAAGCACAACCUGUUCAGUGGCCCAACCCUCGUUCGUGUCAAUAGUAGCACUACAAAAGAUGGCGGCUUCGAGAUUGAACGCGUUGACCUGGGCCCAGCUGCGGAUGAGAUCAUCGGCAGCAUGAGGUACAGCGUCGAGGAAGACAUUAUCACCGUCAUCGAGAAGAAAGCCAAGGGGACAGAAGAAGAAGAACGUGUGUGGGCGUGGGAGAUGGUGGAGCCACUCAUGACCAAAGCGCUCACCACCAUGCCCUACCUCAACGAAUACAAGGUCCCUGAACCUGAACCUGAACCUGAACCCAUCCCUUGAACUUCUGCACUGCAGAGUCUCCGGAUUUGGCUGCGACUGCGAUCAUAUAUACAAUAAGAACUGCCUGGUUGAUGAUGGAUAAGCAGAUAACGAAAGCAGCCUACGUAUGUAUGUUUCCCUUUUUUGAGUUUACCCUGCUCGCUUGCAUCUUGUUAUUGUACGUGUUAUCCAAUAAAUAAAACAAGCUUCACUGGUGUGUUUAAUUGCUA